UUCCGGUUGAUCCUGCCGGACCCGACUGCUAUCAGAGUGAGAUUAAGCCAUGCGAGUUAACGUAGCAAUACGUGGCGCACGGCUCAGUAACACGUAGUCAACAUGCCCAGAGGACGUGGAUAACCUCGGGAAACUGAGUCUAAACCGCGAUAAGUGAGGAUUUCUGGAAUGGUUCCUGACUAAAAUCUAUAUGGCCUCUGGAUUGGACUGCGGCCGAUCAGGCUGUUGGUGAGGUAAUGGCCCACCAAACCUGUAGCCGGUACGGGCUCUGAGAGGAGGAGCCCGGAGAUGGGCACUGAGACAAGGGCCCAGGCCCUAUGGGGCGCAGCAGGCGCGAAACCUCUGCAAUAGGCGAAAGCCUGACGGGGUUACUCUGAGUGACUUUCGCUAAGAAAGUCUUUUGGCACCUCUAAAAACGGUGCAGAAUAAGGGGUGGGCAAGUCUGGUGUCAGCCGCCGCGGUAAUACCAGCACCCCGAGUGGUCGGGACGAUUAUUGGGCCUAAAGCAUCCGUAGCCGGUUCUGCAAGUCCCCCGUUAAAUCCAGCUGCUCAACAGAUGGGCCGCGGAGGAUACUACAGAGCUAGGAGGCAGGAGAGGCAAGCGGUACUCAGUGGGUAGGGGUAAAAUCCGUUGAUCCAUUGAAGACCACCAGUGGCGAAGGCGGCUUGCCAGAAUGCGCUCGACGGUGAGGGAUGAAAGCUGGGGGAGCAAACCGGAUUAGAUACCCGGGUAGUCCCAG
RNAcentral lists this ribosomal RNA (740 nucleotides) under uncultured archaeon. RNAcentral's name for it is "bacterial SSU rRNA". It matches the Rfam family "Archaeal small subunit ribosomal RNA", at positions 1 to 750 of the family's 1478-position model. The record is from RNAcentral.